RNAcentral lists this non-coding RNA (23 nucleotides) under Rattus norvegicus (Norway rat). The record is from RNAcentral. Lineage: Eukaryota; Metazoa; Chordata; Mammalia; Rodentia; Muridae.
UGCACUUUGAGAGGGCCUGGAUU